This 67-nucleotide transfer RNA is filed under the name Noctilio albiventris (lesser bulldog bat). RNAcentral describes it as "tRNA-Val". It matches the Rfam family "tRNA". Rfam says of the family: Transfer RNA (tRNA) molecules are approximately 80 nucleotides in length. Their secondary structure includes four short double-helical elements and three loops (D, anti-codon, and T loops). Further hydrogen bonds mediate the characteristic L-shaped molecular structure. tRNAs have two regions of fundamental functional importance: the anti-codon, which is responsible for specific mRNA codon recognition, and the 3' end, to which the tRNAs corresponding amino acid is attached (by aminoacyl-tRNA synthetases). tRNAs cope with the degeneracy of the genetic code in two manners: having more than one tRNA (with a specific anti-codon) for a particular amino acid; and 'wobble' base-pairing, i.e. permitting non-standard base-pairing at the 3rd anti-codon position. Lineage: Eukaryota; Metazoa; Chordata; Mammalia; Chiroptera; Noctilionidae. RNAcentral also lists the same sequence under 1 other name. The record is from RNAcentral.
CAAAGUGUAGCUUAAUAUAAAGCACCUAGCUUACACCUAGAAGAUUUCAUGAUAAUGACCACUUUGA